Molecule: unclassified non-coding RNA, 412 nt
Filed under: soil metagenome
Description: partial contains 5.8S ribosomal RNA, internal transcribed spacer 2, and large subunit ribosomal RNA
Rfam family: 5.8S ribosomal RNA (bases 1-120)
Source: RNAcentral
GAUGAAGAACGUAGCGAAAUGCGAUACGUAGUGUGAAUUGCAGAAUUCCGUGAACCAUCAAAUCUUUGAACGCAUAUUGCGCUCGAGGCUUCGGCCGAGAGCAUGUCUGCCUCAGCGUCGGUAUUACCCCUCGCUUCUCAACCCCUGGUUGAUGCCUGCCUGCCUUUGCAGUUGGCUAGAAGCGGAUCUGGCUUUCCCAAUUGCCUUUGGUAGUUGGGUCAGCUGAAGCACAGAGGCUUGAGCAAGGACCCUUAUUGGGCUUCAACUGGAUAGGUAGAACUGGUCUUAGGACCAACUACACGAAGUUGUUGCUUGUGGUCCUUGUCUGGAGGCCAGCAGGAAACCUUUAUACCUUCGACCUGAGCUCAGGCAAGAUUACCCGCUGAACUUAAGCAUAUCAAUAAGCGGAGGA